Molecule: ribosomal RNA, 478 nt
Filed under: uncultured bacterium
Lineage: Bacteria
Description: bacterial SSU rRNA
Rfam family: Bacterial small subunit ribosomal RNA
Source: RNAcentral
UGACAGUACUCCUACGGGGAGGCAGCAGUGGGGGAAUAUUGCACAAUGGGCGCAAGCCUGAUGCAGCCAUGCCGCGUGUAUGAAGAAGGCCUUCGGGUUGUAAAGUACUUUCAGCAGUGAGGAAGGUGGGGUAUGUUAAUAGCAUACUCAUUUGACGUUAGCUGCAGAAGAAGCACCGGCUAACUCCGUGCCAGCAGCCGCGGUAAUACGGAGGGUGCGAGCGUUAAUCGGAAUUACUGGGCGUAAAGCGCAUGCAGGUGGUUUGUUAAGUCAGAUGUGAAAGACCCGGGGCUCAACCUCGGAAUUGCAUUUGAAACUGGCAAACUAGAGUACUGUAGAGGGGGGUAGGAAUUUCAGGUGUAGCGGUGAAAUGCGUAGAGAUCUGAAGGAAUACCGGUGGCGAAGGCGGCCCCCUGGACAGAUACUGACACUCAGAUGCGAAAGCGUGGGGAGCAAACAGGAUUAGAUACCCUGGUAG